This is a long non-coding RNA of Magnolia sinica, 442 nucleotides long. RefSeq lists it as uncharacterized. The record is from RefSeq and is a predicted model, not a curated record. The transcript has 2 exons. NCBI's taxonomy places the organism in Eukaryota, Viridiplantae, Streptophyta, Magnoliopsida, Magnoliales, Magnoliaceae.
GAUUUUUUUGAUGAUACUGUUGCUCAAAGAGCUAUCGAAUUCAUGUUGGGAUGAUUUUAGCAGAUGCAAUGGGGCUUGGAAAGACUGUAAUGACUAUUGCAUUAAUACUUGGAAAACUAGUUAGGGAGAGUCCAGAUGACCAACAAGUUGAAGAACAAAAUCAGGAUUUUGACAACAAGAAAACAAAGAAUGGUCAGAAAGAUCCUCAAACACAAAAGCCUGCCCACAGUUAAAGGAGGAACUCUUGUUGUCUGUCCAAUGGCAUUGUUAGGCCAGUAGAAGGUAAGAUUUCGUUUCAUUUCAUAACAUGUUUACUACUAAUCCUGUAGUUAAAGUUGGCAUUCUUUUAAUGAUGCAAUUGAAUGAAAAAUUAAAAUAGCACAUUGUUGUCUGUCCAAUGGCAUUGUUAGGCCAGUGGAAGGUGAGAUUUCAUUUUUUCCAA